UGGGGAAUAUUGCACAAUGGGCGCAAGCCUGAUGCAGCCAUGCCGCGUGUAUGCAGAAGGCCUCCGGGUUGUAAAGUACUUUCAGCGGGGAGGAAGGCGAUAAGGUUAAUAACCUUGUCGAUUGACGUUACCCGCAGAAGAAGCACCGGCUAACUCCGUGCCAGCAGCCGCGGCAAUACGGAGGGUGCAAGCGUUAAUCGGAAUUACUGGGCGUAAAGCGCACGCAGGCGGUCUGUCAAGUCGGAUGUGAAAUCCCCGGGCUCAACCUGGGAACUGCAUUCGAAACUGGCAGGCUAGAGUCUUGUAGAGGAGGGUAGAAUUCCAGGUGUAGCGGUGAAAUGCGUAGAGAUCUGGAGGAAUACCGGUGGCGAAGGCGGCCCCCUGGACAAAGACUGACGCUCAGGUGCGAAAGCGUGGGGAGCAAACA
RNAcentral lists this ribosomal RNA (427 nucleotides) under uncultured bacterium. RNAcentral's name for it is "partial 16S ribosomal RNA". It matches the Rfam family "Bacterial small subunit ribosomal RNA", at positions 355 to 774 of the family's 1533-position model. The record is from RNAcentral.